CUAUAGCUAAUUAAGCUGACCAUGCUCCUUACCUCAUGGGGGCCUGGUGUAAUGGGUAGUGUAUGCAGCCUGUUGCUUGUAUAGGUUGUGUUAAGGGAUCUAAGAGACAGUC
This 112-nucleotide small nucleolar RNA is filed under the name Otolemur garnettii (small-eared galago). RNAcentral's name for it is "Small nucleolar RNA SNORA70". It matches the Rfam family "Small nucleolar RNA SNORA70". From Rfam's summary of the family: snoRNA U70 seems to be exclusive to mammals and is a member of the H/ACA class of snoRNA which contain H (ANANNA) and ACA box motifs. H/ACA box snoRNAs are involved in the conversion of uridines to pseudouridines (5-ribosyluracil) a constituent of structural RNAs (transfer, ribosomal, small nuclear, and small nucleolar). The record is from Rfam by way of RNAcentral. Lineage: Eukaryota; Metazoa; Chordata; Mammalia; Primates; Galagidae.